UACGUAGGGUGCAAGCGUUAAUCGGAAUUACUGGGCGUAAAGGGCGCGUAGGCGGCCCGCUAAGUCGAACGUGAAAUCCCCGAGCUCAACUCGGGAACUGCGUCCGAUACUGGCGGGCUUGAAUCCGGGAGAGGGAUGCGGAAUUCCAGGUGUAGCGGUGAAAUGCGUAGAUAUCUGGAGGAACACCGGUGGCGAAGGCGGGUCUCUGGGCCGAUACUGACGCUGAGGAGCGAAAGCGUGGGGAGCGAACAGG
RNAcentral lists this ribosomal RNA (253 nucleotides) under uncultured bacterium. RNAcentral describes it as "partial 16S ribosomal RNA". It matches the Rfam family "Bacterial small subunit ribosomal RNA", at positions 524 to 776 of the family's 1533-position model. The record is from RNAcentral.